RNAcentral lists this ribosomal RNA (377 nucleotides) under uncultured microorganism. RNAcentral's name for it is "bacterial SSU rRNA". It matches the Rfam family "Archaeal small subunit ribosomal RNA", at positions 330 to 708 of the family's 1478-position model. The record is from RNAcentral.
GUGCACCAGUCGCGAAACCUCCGCAAUGCGGGAAACCGCGACGGGGGACCCCGAGUGCCGUGGCAAUGCUACGGCUUUUCCGGAGUGUAAAAAGCUCCGGGAAUAAGGGCUGGGCAAGGCCGGUGGCAGCCGCCGCGGUAAUACCGGCGGCCCGAGUGGUGGCCGCUAUUAUUGGGCCUAAAGCGUCCGUAGCCGGGCCCGUAAGUCCCUGGCGAAAUCCCACGGCUCAACCGUGGGGCUUGCUGGGGAUACUGCGGGUCUUGGGACCGGGAGAGGCGAGGGGUACCCCUGGGGUAGGGGUGAAAUCCUAUAAUCCCGAGGGGACCGCCAGUGGCGAAGGCCGCCCCGCUGGAACGGGUCCGACGGUGAGGGACGAA